Molecule: ribosomal RNA, 447 nt
Filed under: uncultured bacterium
Lineage: Bacteria
Description: bacterial SSU rRNA
Rfam family: Bacterial small subunit ribosomal RNA
Source: RNAcentral
UCGGGAAUUUUGGGCAAUGGGCGAAAGCCUGACCCAGCAACGCCGCGUGAAGGAUGAAGUAUUUCGGUAUGUAAACUUCGAAAGAAUAGGAAGAAUAAAUGACGGUACUAUUUGUAAGGUCCGGCUAACUACGUGCCAGCAGCCGCGGUAAUACGUAGGGACCAAGCGUUGUUCGGAUUUACUGGGCGUAAAGGGCGCGUAGGCGGUUUGUCAAGUCAGUUGUGAAAUCUCCGAGCUUAACUCGGAACGGUCAACUGAUACUGUCAAACUAGAGUACAGAAGGGGCAAUCGGAAUUCUUGGUGUAGCGGUGAAAUGCGUAGAUAUCGGGAGGAACACCUGUGGCGAAGGCGGCCACCUGGUUGGAUACUGGCGCUGAGACGCGAAAGCGUGGGGAGCAAACAGGAUUAGAUACCCCCGUAGUCCCUGAGCGGGCUGGCAAGGCGCAU